Molecule: long non-coding RNA, 229 nt
Filed under: Homo sapiens (human)
Lineage: Eukaryota; Metazoa; Chordata; Mammalia; Primates; Hominidae
Description: HSALNT0175891
Source: RNAcentral
CUACACCCCACAUGUAGCUCGUCCCUUGCCAGGGUGUGGAGGGAUGGAUUCUUUAGGACCCAGCUUUUCUCAGGAAGCAGAUUGUCAUCUGGCACCUUCCUGGAAAGGGAUGGAGGAGAAGGAAAAUGAAACUGGCCAGGAGAGAGGAGACGCCACUAGUUGUUGUCAAACCCCGGCUCCCAGGGAGGCUCUGAGGCCCUCCCUGAACACAGGUGAACCACAGUGGCUC